GACGAACGCUGGCGGCGUGCCUAAUACAUGCAAGUAGAACGCACAGUUUAUACCGUAGCUUGCUACACCAUAGACUGUGAGUUGCGAACGGGUGAGUAACGCGUAGGUAACCUGCCUGGUAGCGGGGGAUAACUAUUGGAAACGAUAGCUAAUACCGCAUAAUAUUGAUUAUUGCAUGAUAAUUGAUUGAAAGAUGCUAUUGCAUCACUACCAGAUGGACCUGCGUUGUAUUAGCUAGUAGGUGAGGUAACGGCUCACCUAGGCGACGAUACAUAGCCGACCUGAGAAGGGGGUCGACCACACUGGGACUGGGACACGGCCCAGACUCCUACGGGAGGCAGCAGUAGGGAAUCUUCGGCAAUGGACGAAAGUCUGACCGAGCAACGCCGCGGGAGUGAAGAAGGUUUUCGGAUCGUAAAGCUCUGUUGUAAGGGAAGAACGGGUGUGAGAGUGGAAAGUUCACACUGUGACGGUAUCUUACCAGAAAGGGACGGCUAACUACGUG
Molecule: ribosomal RNA, 505 nt
Filed under: uncultured bacterium
Lineage: Bacteria
Description: partial 16S ribosomal RNA
Rfam family: Bacterial small subunit ribosomal RNA
Source: RNAcentral